AGGUUAAGUUAACAAGGGCGCAUGGUGAAUGCCUUGGCACUAGGAGCCGAUGAAGGACGGGACUAACACCGAUAUGCUUCGGGGAGCUGUACGUAAGCUAUGAUCCGGAGAUUUCCGAAUGGGGCAACCCAGCAGUUUUAAUCAACUGUUACCACUAGAUGAAUUCAUAGUCUAGUUGGAGGUAAACGCUGUGAACUGAAACAUCUCAUUAGCAGCAGGAAUAUAAAGAAAUUUCGAUUCCCUAAGUAGCGGCGAGCGAACGGGGAACAGCCCAAACCAAAGUGCUUGCACUUUGGGGUUGUAGGACUGAACAUUUGAGUUACCAAAGAACUUGAUAGUCGAAGGAUUUGGGAAAAUCCGCCAUAGAUGGUGAUAGCCCAGUAGAUUAAAUCAAAUUCUCUCAGUUCAGGAUCCUGAGUACGGCGGAACACGUGAAAUUCCGUCGGAAUCCGGGAGGACCAUCUCCCAAGGCUAAAUACUACCUAGUGACCGAUAGUGAACCAGUACCGUGAGGGAAAGGUGAAAAGCACCCCGGGAGGGGAGUGAAAUAGUUCCUGAAACCAUGUGCCUACAAUAAGUCAGAGCGCGUUAAUGCGUGAUGGCGUGCCUUUUGUAGAAUGAACCGGCGAGUUAUGAUCCCGUGCAAGGUUAAGACUAAAAAGUCGGAGCCGUAGCGAAAGCGAGUCUGAAAUGGGCGUUUUGAGUACGAGGUUAUAGACCCGAAACCAGGUGACCUAUCCAUGUCCAGGUUGAAGGUGCGGUAAAACGCACUGGAGGACCGAACCCGUGUAAGUUGAAAAUUGCUGGGAUGAGGUGUGGAUAGCGGUGAAAUUCCAAACGAACUUGGAGAUAGCUGGUUCUCUCCGAAAUAGCUUUAGGGCUAGCCUCGGAAUUAGGAUCAUGGAGGUAGAGCACUAUUUGGACUAGGGGCCCGUCUUGGGUUACUGAAUUCAGAUAAACUCCGAAUGCCAUUGAUUCAUAUCCGGGAGUCAGACGAUGAGUGAUAAGAUCCACCGUCGAAAGGGGAACAGCCCAGACCAUCAGUUAAGGUCCCUAAAUGUAUGCUAAGUGGAAAAGGAUGUGGAGUUGCAUAGACAACUAGGAUGUUGGCUCAGAAGCAGCCACCAUUUAAAGAGUGCGUAAUAGCUCACUAGUCGAGUGAUCCUGCGCCGAAAAUGUACCGGGGCUAAGCAUACUACCGAAACCAUGGAUGCGACCAUUAGGUCGCGUGAUAGGAGAGCGUUCUAAGGGCGGUGAAGCAAGAUCGUGAGGACUUGUGGAGCGCUUAGAAGUGAGAAUGCCGGUAUGAGUAGCGAAAGAUAGGUGAGAAUCCUAUCCACCGAAUGACUAAGGUUUCCUGGGGAAGGCUCGUCCUCCCAGGGUUAGUCGGGACCUAAGUCGAGGCCGAGAGGCGUAGACGAUGGAUAACAGGUUGAGAUUCCUGUACUAGUUAAGUGCGUUUGAGCAAUGGAGGGACGCAGGAGGCUAAGAUGUGCAUUCUGUUGGAUUAGAAUGUCCAAGCAGUAAGUCUUGUGAAGAGUCAAAUGCUUUUCACUUUAAGGACAAGCUGUGAUGGGGAGCGAAAUUUAGUAGCGAAGCGUCUGAUGUCACACUGCCGAGAAAAGCUUCUAGUGAGUACUUAACUACCCGUACCGCAAACCGACACAGGUAGUCGAGGAGAGAAUCCUAAGGUGAGCGAGUGAACUCUCGUUAAGGAACUCGGCAAAAUGACCCCGUAACUUCGGGAGAAGGGGUGCUGAUCGCAAGAUCAGCCGCAGUGAAUAGGCCCAGGCGACUGUUUAUCAAAAACACAGGUCUCUGCAAAAUCGUAAGAUGACGUAUAGGGGCUGACGCCUGCCCGGUGCUGGAAGGUUAAAAGGAUGGGUUAGCUUCGGCGAAGCUCAGAAUUGAAGCCCCAGUAAACGGCGGCCGUAACUAUAACGGUCCUAAGGUAGCGAAAUUCCUUGUCGGGUAAGUUCCGACCCGCACGAAAGGCGUAACGAUCUGGGCACUGUCUCAACGAGAGACUCGGUGAAAUUAUAUUGUCCGUGAAGAUGCGGACUACCCGCGACAGGACGGAAAGACCCCAUGGAGCUUUACUGUAGCUUGAUAUUGAGUGUUUGUACAGCUUGUACAGGAUAGGUAGGAGCCAUAGAAACCGGAACGCUAGUUUCGGUGGAGGCGUUGGUGGGAUACUACCCUCGCUGUAUGACCACUCUAACCCGCACCACUAAUCGUGGUGGGAGACAGUGUCAGGUGGGCAGUUUGACUGGGGCGGUCGCCUCCUAAAAAGUAACGGAGGCGCCCAAAGGUUCCCUCAGAAUGGUUGGAAAUCAUUCGCAGAGUGUAAAGGCACAAGGGAGCUUGACUGCGAGACAGACAGGUCGAGCAGGGACGAAAGUCGGGCUUAGUGAUCCGGUGGUACCGUAUGGAAGGGCCAUCGCUCAACGGAUAAAAGCUACCCUGGGGAUAACAGGCUUAUCUCCCCAAGAGUCCACAUCGACGGGGAGGUUUGGCACCUCGAUGUCGGCUCAUCGCAUCCUGGGGCUGUAGUCGGUCCCAAGGGUUGGGCUGUUCGCCCAUUAAAGCGGUACGCGAGCUGGGUUCAGAACGUCGUGAGACAGUUCGGUCCCUAUCCGUCGCGGGCGUAGGAAAUUUGAGAGGACCUGUCCUUAGUACGAGAGGACCGGGAUGGACAUACCUCUGGUGUACCAGUUGUGCCGCCAGGCGCAUCGCUGGGUAGCUACGUAUGGAUGUGAUAAACGCUGAAAGCAUCUAAGUGUGAAACACACCUCGAGAUGAGAUUUCCCAUUCCUUUAUGGAAGUAAGAUCCCUGAAAGAUGAUCAGGUAGAUAGGUUAGAAGUGGCAGUGCGGUGACGCAUGAAGCGGACUAAUACUAAUCGGUCGAGGACUUAACCAAG
This 2922-nucleotide ribosomal RNA is filed under the name Lactiplantibacillus plantarum. RNAcentral describes it as "Lactobacillus plantarum 23S ribosomal RNA". It matches the Rfam family "Bacterial large subunit ribosomal RNA". The record is from RNAcentral. Lineage: Bacteria; Bacillati; Bacillota; Bacilli; Lactobacillales; Lactobacillaceae.